AUUGCUUUGAUCGUCCUUGAAUUUAACAAUUUGUUUUGUUGAGAUGACAGGCAACACAGUUGCUGCUCUCAUGGCUCAUCUUUGCUCAAGAAACUGAGGUGAAAUGUAAGAUUAAUACUAUAAAUAAGUGAACAUUCAUGGAAAUGUCUAUUGGUGUAAACUUAUCUUUAUAUGCUUCAUCAACCAUAGAAAAUGUUUAGUUCCCAAGCAUUCACUAUACACAUUUAACGGUCAACGUAGAAACACUUUCAAGGCAUAUUUGCUACAUGACUAGGUAGAUACAAAUUGCUAGCUUCUUCAUUUCCCUAAUUAUUGCCCACAUUUACUAAAUGAGUCAUUAUAAAGUAAGAAAAUAAAGAACCAAUAUCUGUUUCUUCAUGUUGCGAUCGUGAUAAUAAAAAUGGCAAAUAAGAACUCAAGAUCGAAGGCUAAGGUAAAACAUCAUAUCUCUAUCAGAUUUGAAAUAAUCCAACUUUCUAUUAGUAAUUCAGCCAAUUAGUCCAAUUUAUUCAGGAAGAUUUACUGAUGUUAUUUGUUAUGUAAAGUACAACCUAUACUCGCUUUAGCCAGAUAAGUAAAUCUCUAGAGAGAAAAUAUUAAAAAAGGAAUUAGCAUAAUGUAGAGAUAUUUGGGGAGCUGAGGAAACAGAGAGAGGAAAACAGAAUAAAAAAUUCACUAUCAAAAUAGUGGACAAAUUUAAGUUUUAGAGCUAUGCUUAAAUUAUCACAUGUUAAGGGCUUCCUCUGCUCUCUAUAUAUUUCAUUUUUAACCUACAAAUGAACAAACAAUUACCUUCAAGUUUUGAAACUCAAAUUUGCUCUUUUAAUGCAGGACAUACAAGUGCAGAUGAGACGUUAAGGAGAAUUAGGGUAUCCAUCAUGUUCAAAAAUUAACGGAACCUGCAGAUUUUCAAGAAUUGGUGAAUUCCAGCAUUACGACAAGGUAAUUAAUGUAAUAUUUAAAUUACACUUCAAAGUAUAUUCUUUUUGUUUGUCUAUUUCCUAGAUUGAAUCAUAUUUGUGACAGUAUUUAGUUAUGUUCAUUGCACGUCUUACCAUGUAGGUGUACAAACAUGAACCAGGAAGCCGCAAUUCCUUUUGCUGUCAUUGUACACGAGCUUUUAAAUAUUUUUUUUUUUUUUAAAGUUAAAGGAGGGCGGUACCUCCAAGAUUUUAUUAAUUUGCCCUCACUUGUGACGGAAGAAUACCGUGGUUGCAUAUGGAAAAAUGAAAGCAAUAAAUGAGAAAGACUACUUCCCUUACAAUAAUUGAAAAUGCUAAAGAAAAUGUGUUAAGCGGUAAAAAAUGAAGUACUACUUCCCUUACAAUAAGAUUUGAUGCAAUUAAAGACAAAAAGUAAAAACAACUAAAACUAAAAAUUAAAAUAGAAUUACCAUUCACAUUCUAACAUUGGGCAGUCCAUGUCUAUCAAUUUGUGCGAGUGCUCGAAUAUGACGUGGUAGGUCAGAUGAUCCAUACAUUUGAUAUCGCCGGUGCUCCCAACCUAUUGCGGCAAGAGCGUCUGCAACUUGGUUUUCCUCUCUACAGAUAUGGGUAACUCUGUCUCUAUCGAAGGAGAUGAUGUCUGCAAUCUUUCUGAGUAUGCCUCCUUCAUCUUUUGUGAUGCAAUAAAUGGCUGCACUGGAAUCUGCCUCAACCCAAAUGUCUAAAAAUCUAAGGCCCCUAGCCAAUAGUAUCCCAUCAAGAAUAGCCUUCUAGUAUCUUACAUUGUUCAUACAAUGUUGAGAAUGCCCUUAUGCAUUUUCCUGUGUGGUCUCUGACGAUACCUCCCCCGCUCGCAAAGUCAUCCUUGAAGUUUUUAAACUUGAAGGUAUGUCAACUUCUAUUUAAGUUUGUAA
RNAcentral lists this long non-coding RNA (1858 nucleotides) under Olea europaea subsp. europaea. The record is from RNAcentral. Lineage: Eukaryota; Viridiplantae; Streptophyta; Magnoliopsida; Lamiales; Oleaceae.